This is a long non-coding RNA of Mauremys mutica (yellowpond turtle), 2601 nucleotides long. RefSeq lists it as uncharacterized. The transcript has 4 exons. The record is from RefSeq and is a predicted model, not a curated record. NCBI's taxonomy places the organism in Eukaryota, Metazoa, Chordata, Testudines, Geoemydidae.
UCUGUGCAGACUGUAUACAUAGGAAAUGCUGCAAUCUGACAAGUCUGAUUCGCACAGCUUCCCUCGGUCCUUUCACAGAAGUGCUCUGAAAUGAGGAAUGACCAUUUUAACAGCCUCUGAGAUGCUGUAUUAUGAAAUGCGUCAGCUGGGGAGCAAGAAGAAGAGAUGGAAGCAGAGGAGCAGGAAGAGAAUUGUCGGUUUGAUUUGGAGAAGAUGAAGAUCACAGAGGGAGGAAAUAUGGAUUUCCGAUUCCCAAGUCUGAGAUGAUAGCCCAGGUGGAAAGAGGGGAAGAGCCAUUUGUCCCAGAUCUCCAGCACUCUGAGGAAACAGAGAUCCUGAUGGUCAACUGCACAGGAAACUAUGAGAUUCUGCAGGAAGAUCCUGAUGAAGAAAUGGAGCAGCCUAGAACAUUAUCAGGCAGCAGAUCCAAAGGGAAUAUUUCCCAUAGCCCUGAGGAGAGAGACACCUCUGAUGGUAAGCACAUCUGUGGAGAAGACAGGCUGACCACCUGCACUGAGUAUGGGAAGAGCUUCAGUCGGAGCUCAUACCUUGCUGCACAUAAGAGCAUCCACACGGGGAGAGACCCUUCCAAUGCGCUGAAUGUGGAAAAGGGUUCACCGACAGAUCAACUUGCAGCCGGCACCAGAGAACCCACACCAGGGAGCAGCCCUACAGCUGCAAAGUGUGCGGGGAAAGCUUCAGCUUCAGAUCAGCGCUCAGCAAACACUUGAGAACCCAUACAGGGGACAGGCCAUGCAAAUGCAUUGAGUGUGGGAAGAGCUCCGCCCUCGUCGAGCACCAGAGUACGCACAGUGGGGAGUGGCCCUAAAAGUGCGGAGAGUGCGGGAAACGCUUCCAGCGGAACUCGCAUGUCACUAAACACCAGAGAAUCCACACAGGAGAAAAACCCUAUACAUGUGAAGAGUGCGGGAAAGGGUUCACGGAGAGUUCGUACCUUACUAACCAUCAGAGAAUCCACACUGGGGAGAGACCCUUCACAUGCAGGGUAUGCGAGAAGAGCUUCAAUCACAGCUCCACUCUCUUCAAACAUCAGAGGACCCACACGGGGGAAAGACCCUUCCUAUGUGCUGAGUGUAGGAAGGGCUUCCGUGGGAGCUCAGCCCUUACUUGGCAUCUGAGAAUGCACACGGGAGAGAGACCCUACACCUGCAGGCUUUGCAAGAAGAGCUUCAGUCAGAGGUCACAUAUUGUUGUACAUCAGAGGAUCCACACGGGGGAGAGACCCUUCCCAUGCACUGAGCGUGGGAAAAGGUUUGUAGAGAGUUCCACGUUCAUGUAGCACCGGAGAACUCACACUGGGGAGUGGCUCUAUAGCUGCAAAGAGUGUGGGAAGAGAUUCAGGUUCAGUUUCACACUCACCAAACACCAGAGAACUCACACAGGGGACAGGCUGUGCAAACGCACCCAGGGUGGGAGAAGCUUGAGAAAUGCCUCCUUCCCCAUGGAGCACCAGAGAAUCCACAGCAGGGAGUGGCCCUAUGGGUGUGGGAAACACUGCCAGUGGAGUUCGGACAUCACUAAACAUCAGAGAAUCCACAUGGGAGGUAGUCCCUAUAAACAUGAAGAGAGUGGGAAAGGGUUUGCAGCAAGCUCAUACCUCACUAACCACCACAGAACCCAUACCAGGGAGUUGCUCUUCACGCGUGCUGAUUGUGGGAAGAGGUUCAUCAGCAGAUCAAUGUUCAUGCAGCACCAGAGAAUCCAUAGCGGAGAGAGGCCCUACAGCUGUGAAGCGUGUGGGGAAAGCUUCAGGUUCAGCUCAGCACUCACCAAACACCUGAGAACCCACAUAAGGGACAGGACGUACAAACACACUGUGAGUGGGACAAAUUUUAUCCUUAAACAAUGAACACUCCCCUCCCCACCCAGUUCUGCUUCAUUCAGUAGGAAGACCAAUGGUGAGAACCUCUGGGGUUAUGAAACCUUACAGUGCCUAGACAUUUUUUUUGGAGUUCUUUGUAGUGAUCCUGUACUAACAAUGAAACUACUUUGGUUUCAGGUCAGGCAAUUUUAAUUUGGAGUAAACCAUCCAAACAUACUCUAAGGGGUAAGGCACAGGUCUCAGAAUAUUGAACAUAUUCCGACUUUUUUCUUAAAUACAUUUUUUGUCUGGGGGAGGGUGUGUGGUCCAUGAGGAAAGAUGUGUUGGCAUCUGGCUUGCAGAUAGGCUUCCUCCAAAUCCAAAAUAACGGAGACUGGUCUCAAACCUUGGGACAGAUCAUAACCUAUGCGUGGGAAAAUGUGAAAAUAAAAACAAAUUUCCUGGCAGGAGGGCAGCAAAGGUUUAGGCUACAAAUUCCCAAGCACAUGCUGCAACCAAGUGACUUUGAGGUAAAGCUGUGUGUGCUGAAAGGCUGAGGUAUUUUAAAUUAAUAAUAUCAGGAUUGCUAAAAUGGUUGUAGCCAACCUUUUAUUCAUUUUCUCAGAGCAAGGAAAGGGAGAGGGUCGGAAGAGCUAAAACCUGAGUAAAGAUAGCCGGCACCUGUGGUUCCUUUUUCACAAGCUGAACAAGCUGCUCAGAUAGUAAGGAAGAAAGACCAUAAUCUCAAGCAAUGGAUGUUUAUUAAACAUUUUUCUUUC